RNAcentral lists this transfer RNA (64 nucleotides) under Triatoma dimidiata (kissing bug). RNAcentral describes it as "tRNA-Gly". The record is from RNAcentral. Lineage: Eukaryota; Metazoa; Arthropoda; Insecta; Hemiptera; Reduviidae.
AUUCCUUUAGUAUAUAAAAGUAUAUUUAACUUCCAAUUAAAAGGUUUAUUAUUUAAAAGGAAUA